This is a long non-coding RNA of Micropterus salmoides (largemouth bass), 827 nucleotides long. RefSeq lists it as uncharacterized. The transcript has 6 exons. NCBI's taxonomy places the organism in Eukaryota, Metazoa, Chordata, Actinopteri, Centrarchiformes, Centrarchidae. The record is from RefSeq and is a predicted model, not a curated record.
AAGCAACAAAACAGCCCGCCUCUUUGCAUUGAGAGCACACUUCAUGGGGAACACUUCAUUUACGGACAUUGCAGAGCUUCAGUCAUACGCACAAUGAUGAACUUUACCUUGAUGACAGCUUUCAUUCUCUGCAGCCUCAGCUGGAUCUCUGUCUCAGUUUCUGAGUCUCAGACUGUGGAGGUCCAGUCUGGUGAAGACGUCACACUGCUGUGCUCCAACAUUUCCAAAAAUGAAGCUGUAACAUUCUGGAUCAGACUUGUCCAGAGAACCAGCAUCAGCUGUAUCUCUGUUAUGAUCACAUCUAAAAGCCAAGCUACAUUCUGUGAUGGAUAUCAAGAUGGAAGAUUUGAAAUGAGCUCCAACAUCUCUGCUCUCUUUCUCAAAAUCAAACAAGUGGGUUAUCUGACUCUGGACUGUAUUUCUGUGGAUUUUAUACAGAUGGACGUCCAAGUUUCAGUGUAAUACAUUUAGACAUUAAAGACAGCGAUGAGUCGCAUGAUGACGUGGACAGCAAGUGUGAAAAAGAGGGAGAUGGAAUAACCAAUCCGAUGAGUGUGAUCCUGGGCGGUUUGACUGUUUUCUUUGUAACAGUCAUCAUUGGUCUGGUUGUUAAAGUCAAGAAACUUCAGACAGCUGUCAAUGAAGAACAGAUUCCACAACAGCGUAAGAAUCUGGACUCUGAUGACCUGAAAGCACUGAGUUUGUUUUCAACAACAAUAAGAAACAGGAGGCCUGCAUCAGAGAGAGAAGUGCAAACUCAUAUUGUUUAUGGUGCCAGCAGAUAGACUCAUAUUCAUCCACUGCUGUUUAUGGACGGAUGGAAGGAG